Molecule: ribosomal RNA, 497 nt
Filed under: uncultured bacterium
Lineage: Bacteria
Description: partial 16S ribosomal RNA
Rfam family: Bacterial small subunit ribosomal RNA
Source: RNAcentral
GAUGAACGCUGGCGGCGUGCCUAAUACAUGCAAGUCGAGCGAACAGAUGAGGAGCUUGCUCCUCUGACGUUAGCGGCGGACGGGUGAGUAACACGUGGAUAACCUACCUAUAAGACUGGGAUAACUUCGGGAAACCGGAGCUAAUACCGGAUAAUAUAUUGAACCGCAUGGUUCAAUAGUGAAAGACGGUUUUGCUGUCACUUAUAGAUGGAUCCGCGCCGCAUUAGCUAGUUGGUAAGGUAACGGCUUACCAAGGCAACGAUGCGUAGCCGACCUGAUAGGGUGAUCGGCCACACUGGAACUGAGACACGGUCCAGACUCCUACGGGAGGCAGCAGUAGGGAAUCUUCCGCAAUGGGCGAAAGCCUGACGGAGCAACGCCGCGUGAGUGAUGAAGGUCUUCGGAUCGUAAAACUCUGUUAUUAGGGAAGAACAAAUGUGUAAGUAACUACGCACGUCUUGACGGUACCUAAUCAGAAAGCCACGGCUAACUACGUG